Molecule: ribosomal RNA, 119 nt
Filed under: Oenococcus oeni
Lineage: Bacteria; Bacillati; Bacillota; Bacilli; Lactobacillales; Lactobacillaceae
Description: partial 23S ribosomal RNA
Rfam family: Bacterial large subunit ribosomal RNA
Source: RNAcentral
GAGAUUUCCCAUUCGUCAGAAGUAAGACCCCUGAGAGACGAUCAGGUAGAUAGGCUAGAAGUGGAAGUGUAGUGAUGCAUGGAGCGGACUAGUACUAAUAGGUCGAGGACUUAACCAAG